UACGUAGGUGGCAAGCGUUGUCCGGAAUUAUUGGGCGUAAAGCGCGCGCAGGCGGUCCUUUAAGUCUGAUGUGAAAGCCCACGGCUCAACCGUGGAGGGUCAUUGGAAACUGGGGGACUUGAGUACAGAAGAGAAGAGUGGAAUUCCACGUGUAGCGGUGAAAUGCGUAGAGAUGUGGAGGAACACCAGUGGCGAAGGCGGUUACCUGGAGCUUUGCUGACGCUGAUGCGCGAAAGCGUGGGGAGCGAUCCGG
RNAcentral lists this ribosomal RNA (253 nucleotides) under uncultured bacterium. Its description in RNAcentral is "partial 16S ribosomal RNA". It matches the Rfam family "Bacterial small subunit ribosomal RNA", at positions 524 to 776 of the family's 1533-position model. The record is from RNAcentral.